Molecule: ribosomal RNA, 253 nt
Filed under: uncultured bacterium
Lineage: Bacteria
Description: partial 16S ribosomal RNA
Rfam family: Bacterial small subunit ribosomal RNA
Source: RNAcentral
UACAGAGGUCCCAAGCGUUGUUCGGAUUCAUUGGGCGUAAAGGGUGCGUAGGCGGCGCGGUAAGUCGGGUGUGAAAUCUCGGGGCUUAACUCCGAAACUGCAUUCGAUACUGCCGUGCUUGAGGACUGGAGAGGAGACUGGAAUUUACGGUGUAGCGGUGAAAUGCGCAGAUAUCAGGAGGAACACCUAUGGCGAAGGCAGCUCGCUGGGACGGUACUGACGCUGAGGCGCGAAAGCGUGGGGAGCAAACAGG